CUGCGGAAGGAUCAUUAUCGAAAUUAUUGGUGAGGGUUGUAGCUGGCCUCUCGGGGCAAUGUGCACGCCCGAACCCUUAAUCCACAUACACCUGUGAACCCAAUGUAGGGGCCCGUUAAAAAAGGUCCCUAUGUCUUAUACACCCCAUUGUAUGUCUCUGAAUGUAAAUCUUUGUCUUCGCCUUGCGGCGUUGAUAGAAUCUAUAUAACUUUCAACAACGGAUCUCUUGGCUCUCGCAUCGAUGAAGAACGCAGCGAAAUGCGAUAAGUAAUGUGAAUUGCAGAUUUUCAGUGAAUCAUCGAAUCUUUGAACGCACCUUGCGCUCCUUGGUAUUCCGAGGAGCAUGCCUGUUUGAGUGUCAUUAAAUUCUCAACCUCGAGUUUUGAUUCGAGGAUUGGACUUUGGAGUGUGCUGGCGUUACCGCGUCGGCUCCUCUUAAAAGCAUCAGCGGAAAUCUAACCUUUGGCUUUUCGAAUGUCAGUGUGAUAAUUGUGUUGCGCUGUCUUCAAAGUUGAAGUUCCGCUUACAGUGGUCUUCGGACAACUCUUAUCAAAUUUGACCUCAAAUCAGGUAGGACUACCCGCUGAACUUAAGCAUAUCAAUAAGCGGAGGAA
RNAcentral lists this small RNA (614 nucleotides) under uncultured fungus. RNAcentral's name for it is "eukaryotic LSU rRNA". The stretch from base 207 to 361 matches the Rfam family "5.8S ribosomal RNA". Lineage: Eukaryota; Fungi. The record is from RNAcentral.